Small nucleolar RNA from Lolium rigidum, 74 nucleotides. RefSeq annotates it as small nucleolar RNA SNORD18. The transcript has a single exon. The record is from RefSeq and is a predicted model, not a curated record. Lineage: Eukaryota; Viridiplantae; Streptophyta; Magnoliopsida; Poales; Poaceae.
GGGACAUGAUGAAGAACUAUUGGUCCGUGUUUCUGAUCAUCACGUGACGAAUCAAACUAACCAUUUCUGAUCCC